UGCCAGACUCCUACGGGAGGCAGCAGUAGGGAAUUUUCGGCAAUGGGGGGAACCCUGACCGAGCAACGCCGCGUGAACGAAGAAGUAUUUCGGUAUGUAAAGUUCUUUUAUUGGAGAAGAAAGAGAAAUUUGACGGUAACCAAUGAAUAAGCUCCGGCUAACUACGUGCCAGCAGCCGCGGUAAUACGUAGGGAGCGAGCGUUAUCCGGAAUUAUUGGGCGUAAAGGGUGCGUAGAUGGUUGAUAUAAGUCUUUUGUAAAAAUGCUAGGCUCAACCUAGUAGGGCAAAAGAUACUGAUGAACUAGAGUACGGCAGAGGCAAGUGGAACUACAUGUGUAGCGGUAAAAUGCGUAAAUAUAUGUAAGAACACCGGUGGCGAAGGCGGCUUGCUGGGCCUGUACUGACAUUGAGGCACGAAAGCGUGGGGAGCAAACAGGAUUAGAUACCCGAGUAAAA
RNAcentral lists this ribosomal RNA (456 nucleotides) under uncultured bacterium. RNAcentral describes it as "bacterial SSU rRNA". It matches the Rfam family "Bacterial small subunit ribosomal RNA", at positions 329 to 793 of the family's 1533-position model. The record is from RNAcentral.